CUUCACGUUACUGUCAUUUUAUUCCACGUGACUUGCUUAACCGGAACAAAACUAGUCGGCAUUCCCUGGAUGGAGCAGAUGCUGGAAAAUUCCACGUCGAGGCCUAAUGCACUAUUCAGAGGGCACAUCAGCCGAUCAGCAGGCCAGCUGGGCCGGCUGGUAGUUCCUGGAGGAAGACAUUGGAAUGGAUGGGUCCACCAAGGGAUCCUGCCCCGAGGAAGCAUAGAGCAUGGAACAUUCCAGCGAGGACAGGUGGAAGAUGGUGUGUGGCCAUUGACUGGAAGCAGGUGUGAUCUGUCUCCAUGAGAGGCCAACCUUUAAAGCCUCCCAAUGCAUCAAGGACAGCAGGGAAAAAAGGAAGCUGAAGGGAAACAAAGAGUCAUCCAAAUUUUAAAAUCAUCUGUAAUACUAGCAAAUGACACAACACGGGCACAAGGCUACGUCUGUUUCUUCAGAUUCCUC
RNAcentral lists this long non-coding RNA (462 nucleotides) under Felis catus (domestic cat). Its description in RNAcentral is "lncRNA (ENSFCAG00000048164.1)". Lineage: Eukaryota; Metazoa; Chordata; Mammalia; Carnivora; Felidae. The record is from RNAcentral.